This 301-nucleotide ribosomal RNA is filed under the name uncultured bacterium. Its description in RNAcentral is "partial 16S ribosomal RNA". It matches the Rfam family "Bacterial small subunit ribosomal RNA", at positions 509 to 807 of the family's 1533-position model. The record is from RNAcentral.
CAGUCGCCACGGGAAAACGUAGGCGGCAAGCGUUGUCCGGAAUUAUUGGGCGUAAAGGGCGCGCAGGCGGCUUCUUAAGUCUGUCUUAAAAGUGCGGGGCUUAACCCCGUGAUGGGAUGGAAACUGGGAAGCUCAGAGUAUCGGAGAGGAAAGCGGAAUUCCUAGUGUAGCGGUGAAAUGCGUAGAUAUUAGGAGGAACACCAGUGGCGAAAGCGGCUUUCUGGACGAAAACUGACGCUGAGGCGCGAAAGCCAGGGGAGCGAACGGGAUUAGAUACCCCGGUAGUCCCUGUCUCUUAUAC